UGUAUACAUAUAUAGGUACGUAAAAAAUAUAUAUUGUAGAAAACAUUUUGUAAAUGCCUCAAAUUAUAUCUACAUUCUGUAUCAUUAAAUAUAGGAAAUAUAUUCUACAAUCUACACGGUGUAAGAUAAAUAUGACUGAAUACAAUUGUUUAUUCGAUCAUAGUCUUAUCUAUGAUCAUAGUAGAAGCAAAUGAAAAAGACAUGUUCUACUUAGUCCCUUCUAAUCCAUGCAAGUCAGGACCGUACUUAGAAUUGAUAGAUGUACAAGGUGCUAUAAACGCUAUGGUUAUUCAAAGAAGUGGACUGUAUGAAUACGAUAAAACUAUAGAAUAACGAUAUUUAGAGAUGGCUUAAUUAACGCUAUUGUAGUUUAUCUUCUUGUUAAAGGGUUCUUCUGGAUGUCUUGAAUUUGUCAGCAGUUUCUCUAAAUGCACAUGGAUCGCAGUAAAACUGCAGGGAUACGCACUCUCUCGUGUCUAUAUACAUACAUAAGGUAUAUUUUUUUUGAUUAAGCACAUUAAUAACCUGCUUAUUAUCGUUUUGUACCAUGACGUCAUGAAAAUUGUGGCAACAAAAAAACGAGCACUUUCCAACAAAAAUUCGCGCAGACGUUAUAAUUGAUUAUAUUUGAAAUAUAUUAAAAAUAAACUAUUUCUACCAUGUUA
This is a long non-coding RNA of Anoplophora glabripennis (Asian longhorned beetle), 665 nucleotides long. RefSeq lists it as uncharacterized. The transcript has 2 exons. Lineage: Eukaryota; Metazoa; Arthropoda; Insecta; Coleoptera; Cerambycidae. The record is from RefSeq and is a predicted model, not a curated record.